GUACUGCUGAAGAGUCCCAUACUAAGACGGAGGAACACAGCUGUCCAGUAC
RNAcentral lists this non-coding RNA (51 nucleotides) under Trichobilharzia regenti. Lineage: Eukaryota; Metazoa; Platyhelminthes; Trematoda; Strigeidida; Schistosomatidae. The record is from RNAcentral.